Saccostrea echinata is the source of this 302-nucleotide long non-coding RNA. RefSeq lists it as uncharacterized. The transcript has 4 exons. The record is from RefSeq and is a predicted model, not a curated record. NCBI's taxonomy places the organism in Eukaryota, Metazoa, Mollusca, Bivalvia, Ostreida, Ostreidae.
CAAAAGGGACAAUGAUUUGCACCAUUUCAGAGAAUGAAGCUGGGAAUAUUCAUAGUUCAUGACGUUGGUUAAACAAAUAGCAAAAGCAGUAACAUAUUGGAAGAUACGAUGAUGAGAAGACCUCUUGCCCAUGGAAUAAACUUGUAAAGAGAAGCUGAUGACUUCCAGUUUAUUGGUGUUUUCACCAAAAAAGGGGCCUUGUCGAGGAAAAGAGAACAUUAAAUGAAGGUCUAAUAACAGAAUGCAUCCCUGGGGUCAAUGUUACCACCUUUACAUCAUGAAAGACUUUUAAAGUUCCAAAG